RNAcentral lists this ribosomal RNA (1056 nucleotides) under Pseudomonadota bacterium. RNAcentral describes it as "Bacterial large subunit ribosomal RNA". It matches the Rfam family "Bacterial large subunit ribosomal RNA", at positions 29 to 1155 of the family's 2925-position model. Lineage: Bacteria; Pseudomonadati; Pseudomonadota. The record is from Rfam by way of RNAcentral.
UGCCUUGGCGCAUGCAGGCGAUGAAGGACGUAAUACGCUGCGAUAAGCCCCGGGGAGCUGCGAAUAAGCUUUGAUCCGAGGAUUUCCGAAUGGGGAAACCCGACCAUUUAGGUCACCCGCAAGGGAGCUAACCCAGGGAACUGAAACAUCUAAGUACCUGGAGGAAAGGACAUCAAAAGAGACUCCGUUAGUAGUGGCGAGCGAACGCGGACCAGGCCAGUGGCCUGUGAGUAAGAACGGGAAGGACUUGGAAAAGUCCGCCAUAGUGGGUGAUAGCCCCGUACCGGUAGAAAGCUCAUAGGUCCUCGAGUAAGGCGGAACACGUGAAAUUCUGUCUGAACAUGGGUAGACCACUAUCCAAGCCUAAGUACUCGUGCACGACCGAUAGCGAACUAGUACCGUGAGGGAAAGGUGAAAAGCACCCCGACGAGGGGAGUGAAACAGUUCCUGAAACUGGAUGCAUACAAACAGUCGGAGCCCAAGAUGUGUUCUGGGUGACGGCGUACCUCUUGUAUAAUGGGUCAUCGACUUAGUCUGUCUAGCAAGCUUAAGCCGUUAGGUGUAGGCGCAGCGAAAGCGAGUCUGAAUAGGGCGUUAAGUUAGACGGAUUAGACCCGAAACCGAGUGAUCUAGGUAUGAGCAGGCUGAAGGUAAGGUAACACUUACUGGAGGGCCGAACCCACGUCUGUUGAAAAAGACGGGGAUGACUUGUUCCUAGGGGUGAAAGGCCAAUCAAACUCGGAAAUAGCUGGUUCUCCGCGAAAGAUAUUUAGGUAUCGCCUCAGACGAAUACCUCGGGGGGUAGAGCACUGGAUGGGCUAGGGGGUCUCACCGACUUACCAAACCUAACCAAACUCCGAAUACCCGAGAGUACUAUCUGGGAGACAGACGGUGGGUGCUAACGUCCAUCGUCAAAAGGGAAACAACCCUAACCUACAGCUAAGGUCCCCAAGUCAUAGUUAAGUGGGAAAGCAUGUGGGAUUACUCAGACAACCAGGAGGUUGGCUUAGAAGCAGCCAUCCUUUAAAGAUAGCGUAACAGCUCACUGGUCAAGUG